CGCGACCGUAGGUUUGGGGGUCGAAAUUGUCGAAUGAUUGUAGCGUGCCGCAGGAUGCGCAUAUCAGGUUGCCGGAUAUGUGAUCGCGGGUUAAAGAUUUAGACUGGCAGCUUGUGCAGGACAUUUCUGACGGGCUUGCAGGUCGUCACUCUGUGAGACAGAUCAACACUUCUGAGGAGGCAAUUGGUUUCCGGUAGGUUAACAGCGAAGUCGUUUAUUUUUUCUUUGACUAUGUACUUGCUAGUUGCUAGUUGAUGAUUAAGAAGAUCUCCAAUGACAUAUGAGGUUUCUAACAGAGUCUUGUGCCCCUUCUUUAGGUGAUUUUGUGGUUACAAAUAGAUUUCCGAUAGCUAGUGUGGACAUUUGACAACCUUUGUGACAACUGAGAACCAAAUGUCAAUGAUAUUUCAAUAGGGUUCGACAGAAUUUAAAGUAUCAAAAUUACAUUGUAGAUAUUAAUGUAGUAGAAGUAUAAACAAAAUAUAUCUGAAUCAUUUACGAAAUUUAGUGAUGAGGGCAAAGUAUUCAAACAAAGUUGAAAACCUUCACUUUGUGUAUUUGAAAAUCUUUUCUGAUACCAUUAUUCUCUUUUAUCCUUGUAACAGCAAAUCACUAGGUACAUAAAUUUCCAGUAAGAAAAGAAAUACUAUGAUUUGAGAGCCAUAAUGACCAAACAUUG
Molecule: long non-coding RNA, 679 nt
Organism: Mangifera indica (mango)
Lineage: Eukaryota; Viridiplantae; Streptophyta; Magnoliopsida; Sapindales; Anacardiaceae
Exons: 2
Source: RefSeq, a predicted model, not a curated record